GUCUUUUUGCCAACAUGAUAUAACAGUCAAACACAGCAAGCGUGAAUGUCUCAGGACUCGGCCUACCUUCCUUGGGGGUGGGUAGUCCGAGCCCGAGUCAAUGUGUGGGGAGGGGGACUGCGCCAUGUUAGCGACGAGCCCCGACUGCCACCAUCCAUGAUUUGUUAAUGAUCCUUCCGCAGGUUCACCUACGGAAA
This 197-nucleotide unclassified non-coding RNA is filed under the name uncultured fungus. RNAcentral's name for it is "sequence contains ITS1". The record is from RNAcentral. Lineage: Eukaryota; Fungi.